UACUGGUGAAGACCUAGUGGCGAACGGGUGAGUAACACGUGAGCAACCUGCCCCGAAGACUGGGAUAACAGCGGGAAACCGCUGCUAAUACCGGAUGCCCCCACCGGGUCGCAUGGCCUGGUGAGGAAAUGGAUUCCGCUUCGGGAGGGGCUCGCGGCCUAUCAGCUUGUUGGUGGGGUAAUGGCCUACCAAGGCGACGACGGGUAGCUGGUCUGAGAGGACGAUCAGCCACACUGGGACUGAGACACGGCCCAGACCCCUACGGGAGGCAGCAGUGGGGAAUAUUGCGCAAUGGGCGAAAGCCUGACGCAGCAACGCCGCGUGAGGGAUGAAUGCCUUCGGGUUGUAAACCUCUUUCGAGCAGGGACGAUAAUGACGGUACCUGCAGAAGAAGCUCCGGCCAACUACGUGCCAGCAGCCGCGGUUAUACGUAGGGAGCAAGCGUUGUCCGGAUUUAUUGGGCGUAAAGAGCUCGUAGGCGGCUUGGCAAGUCGGAUGUGAAAUCUCCAGGCUUAACCUGGAGUCGCCAUCCGAUACUGCUAUGGCUAGAGU
This 552-nucleotide ribosomal RNA is filed under the name uncultured bacterium. Its description in RNAcentral is "bacterial SSU rRNA". It matches the Rfam family "Bacterial small subunit ribosomal RNA", at positions 79 to 647 of the family's 1533-position model. The record is from RNAcentral.